Molecule: long non-coding RNA, 2581 nt
Organism: Mandrillus leucophaeus (drill)
Lineage: Eukaryota; Metazoa; Chordata; Mammalia; Primates; Cercopithecidae
Exons: 2
Source: RefSeq, a predicted model, not a curated record
CCGGUGGCGGGUGCGGGGGGCCAGGUCCCGGUGCCCUGCCCCCUGCCAACACCUACGCUAGCAUUGACUUCUUGUCCCACCACUUGAAGGAGGCCACCAUCGUGAAAGAGUGAAGAUCUGUCUGGCUUUAUGACCAGGAUGUCACACGUCAGAGAAUGUCAUUAAAAGAAGAUGCUCAGCAUUGUUUCAGCCCGAAGCUGCUUACAGUUUUCUUUUGGAUCUGAGCAAUGACUAUGUUUGGAAACAUCUGUGGACUCUGUUAGAUGAGGCACCAACAAGGCAAGGUCACCUGCCUCUCUCCCUUGUUCCCAGAUGGGGCAUUCGUCAUUGUGCUGUUUGCGUUUUGUUUUGUUUUGUUUUGUUUUGUUUUAACAAAAUUAGCUGAAGAAGUUAUUCUCAAGAAAAUUGGAUGUUUUCAUUGGCCUUCUUAAAUUGUGGCCGGUGUCUUAAUUUCUUCUUUUCCUUUUGGCAAAGCAGAUGUAACCCUCAGCAUGCUAGGAGAGUGCACCCACACCUAUGAAAGUGGUAAAAUCUGGUAUUUACUGGCUUACACUCAAAACGACCACAGUCCUACCUCAGUUCAAGGUAAAGCCGGAUUUCCGUGGCGGGGUCCAGCAGGACCUCCUGUAGUAGCCCCUGCGCUGUGUGUCUGGAGCGCGGUCCUCGGCCUCAGUGAAAUGGUCCAAGUAGACAGCUGCUGGUUGGAUUCCAGUGCAGGCACCUGCCAUGUUUACGUCCACACCGAGCCCAGUGUGGGACUGACAUUUCUCGAUGGAAGUGAAAUUUGGGAUUGGACUUUAAAGAUGGAUUACAAAAUAAUAAUUACUAUAUGUAACUGAAGCAACCUACUUUUGAAACAAAUCAGCUGUAUUGGGUAGUGGGGGGGUGGGAGGGAAGGGCUUUGGGAAGGGGAUGAGUAUCUCUUUUUACCUUUAACAGACUUGUUUAAUCUUCUCGAUGUAGAUGUUUAUGUAGGUACUUCACAUUGCAAACGCCUUUUAUUCUAUUUACAAGCUCAGAUGUCUCUGCUCUCCUGAAUCUUGGGCAUGCCUUUCUGUAACCAAAAAUCCCUGUAGGUGUGCUAGCAAUUCCAGGGUGGUCCGGGUGUGGCAGAUUUAAUUUUUUAAAAAAUGUAUUAUCUUUAAUAAAAUGUUAUUAUGUCAACCAGUGAGGCUGCCCUGAACAAAAAACGAAAAGAAAAAAAGAAAAGGAAAGAAAGAAACUGAUAAAAAGAGGCAUUCCAGCCCCUAUGUUGCUGAUGGAAAAAGAAAAAGAAGAAAAGCAAUCUCGCAGUACAUGUUACUUGUCGAAAAAAUUCCUGACAAGACUACCCUUGUUUUAUGUUUUCAGUAUUCUGAAAAUACCAGUGUUGUGGCAGUUCUCGCAGACGUUACCUAAAACUGCUGAACUUGACCGGCAGAAUGAUCUGCCGUUUUCUGCUCCCUCGACACUCAAUUGGAGGGCUGUCGACCUCUCCUCCCGUGGGGGCUUCCCCAGUGCCUAUCUUCUCUGAUAGUCAUGGAGAGGUUACACUAAUUCAUUGGAGAUGUAAGUUGUUGGUUUCGUUUUGUUUUUUUUUGAGAAAAAUAUAUAUAAAUAUAUAGAUAUAUAUCACUAUAGAAUAAUGCAUUAAUAAAAUGAGGCUUUUUUAGAGGAAGACCAAAAAUUUCAAUGUCUUAAAAAUAUAUUUAAUGGCAAUGCAAAAGUCUUCCUGCUUCCGUGCUGAACUUUAGAACAGAGGAUUGUAUUGCAAGACAAAGUUGAAUGUAAAGUGAUCUCCCUGAACAUUUUUAAGGUUUUACUUUUCUGAAAUUAUACAUCACAGCAGCGCCUAGGCCAUACAAUGUUAGCUGGAAGGUCAAUUUCAGUGUAUGAUGUACUUUAUUAAGAUGUAUAAAACAUCCUGAAGUUUUUAUUUAGUUUUGGGAAUAGGCAUCGAUGGGUGAUAUUUGCUUUGUAACUCCCCCCAGGUACGAUAGGGACUGAAUAUGGACCCUGCUGAAUGCAGUGUAUUGACGCAUAUUUAACUCGCCCUCUCUCCUUAGAGUAGUCAUGACACUAUACAGAUGGUUCAUGUUCAUACUGCAGCUUAAAACAAGCAAAAUACACAGAUGAUAAUAUACUAAAUUUUCCUCUAUCCUGUACAUUUCAAAAAAAGGCAUAUGCAAUAUUUACAUUUUUAAUUUAGUUUACAGAAUGGAACCAAAAUGUAUAAAUGUUAUGUUUGCUAAAACUUCACAAUGUAUAUUGGGUCUUUGUACAUUUUGCCUGACUUACCUUAAAUUUAAAAUAUUUUUUGCUAUAUAAACUUUAACAGUUAUUAAACAGUGUUUUCUUUUUGGGUACGUAUUGUUUCUGGAUAUCAAGAUGUUAAAUAUAUUUCUUGCUAUUGUGAUAUGACAAGAGACUUAUCUUGCUCUGUCUUCCACUGUACACGCUGUAUCUAGGGGUCAAUGUGAUGCUGCUGGAGGCGAGAAUAAACUGGACUAGAAUAGUGCAUUGUAUUUAGUCUGUAUUGAUCAUGGAUGCCCUCCUUAAUAGCCAUAUGCAAUAAAAUAAAGUACAUUAUUUAUGAAAUGAA